CAGAGGGUGCAAGCGUUGUUCGGAAUUAUUGGGCGUAAAGCGCGUGUAGGCGGCUUGGCAAGUCAGAUGUGAAAGCCCUCGGCUUAACCGAGGAAGUGCGUCUGAAACUGCUGAGCUUGAGUGUCGGAGAGGAUGGCGGAAUUCCGCAAGUAGAGGUGAAAUUCGUAGAUAUGCGGAGGAACACCGGUGGCGAAGGCGGCCAUCUGGACGACUACUGACGCUGAGACGCGAAAGCGUGGGGAGCAAACAGGAUUAGAUACCCUGGUAGUCCACGCUGUAAACGAUGAGAACUAGGUGUCGUGGGUGUUGACCCCCGCGGUGCCGCAGCUAACGCAUUAAGUUCUCCGCCUGGGAAGUACGGCCGCAAGGCUA
RNAcentral lists this ribosomal RNA (372 nucleotides) under uncultured organism. RNAcentral describes it as "bacterial SSU rRNA". It matches the Rfam family "Bacterial small subunit ribosomal RNA", at positions 526 to 896 of the family's 1533-position model. The record is from RNAcentral.